UACAUGCAGUCGAGGGGCAGCACGGUUUUCGGACUGGUGGCGACCGGCGCACGGGUGCGUAACGCGUAUACAAUCUACCCAGUACUGGAGGAUAGCCCGGGGAAACUCGGAUUAAUACUCCAUGGUAUCACAGAUAGGCAUCUUGAAGUGAUUAAAGAUUUAUCGGUAUUGGAUGAGUAUGCGUCUGAUUAGUUAGUUGGUGAGGUAACGGCUCACCAAGACCACGAUCAGUAGGGGCUCUGAGAGGAUGAUCCCCCACACUGGCACUGAGAUACGGGCCAGACUCCUACGGGAGGCAGCAGUAGGGAAUACUGGUCAAUGGGCGAGAGCCUGAACCAGCCAUGCCGCGUGCAGGAUGACGGCCUUCUGGGUUGUAAACUGCUUUUAUAUGGGAAGAAAAAGCUCAUGCGUGAGCAAUUGCCGGUACCAUAUGAAUAAGCACCGGCUAACUCCGUGCCAGCAGCCGCGGUAAUACGGAGGGUGCAAGCGUUGUCCGGAUUUAUUGGGUUUAAAGGGUACGUAGGCGGAUUUUUAAGUCCGUGGUGAAAGCCUACAGCUUAACUGUAGAACUGCCAUGGAUACUGGAAAUCUUGAAUUCAGUUGAGGUAAGCGGAAUUUAUGAUGUAGCGGUGAAAUGCAUAGAUAUCAUAAAGAACACCUAUUGCGAAGGCAGCUUGCUGGACUUGAAUUGACGCUGAGGUACGAAAGCGUGGGGAGCGAACAGGAUUAGAUACCCUGGUAGUCCGCGCCGUAAACGAUGAUUACUCGCUGCUGGCGAUACACUGUCA
This 788-nucleotide ribosomal RNA is filed under the name uncultured marine bacterium. RNAcentral's name for it is "bacterial SSU rRNA". It matches the Rfam family "Bacterial small subunit ribosomal RNA", at positions 52 to 842 of the family's 1533-position model. The record is from RNAcentral.